CUUUCCUUGAGCCUGUUGGCUUUUCCUGAAAGAGACAAGGUGUGCUCCUUGUUCCAGUGGAGGGGUGCUAUAAGAAGCUGCCAUGUCUCACCUGCUAGCUAGUGUAUUUCCUGCAAAGGUUAAUAAAGUAUCUAUUGCUUCCUGGUAACUCAGAAUCCUGGUGGGAUUUCAGCUGCUUUUGCACCACUCUUCACCCGAAUCAAUCUCCUGUAUUUCCCUUGGAGAGCAGAUAGUAUGUGGAAAGCAUGUUUCAGCAGCACCUCUGAAGGAAAGUUCAUCAUGUAAGAAGUUUUAAAUGCUAGAUGAAAUUCCAAUAAAGAAUUGAUAAAUUCCCAGUGCACUGGACUGUUGGAUAAAAUAGUCACCAACAGUGCCAUAGUUGUUUGUCUUCAGACUGAACCUGAAGAAGGCAUUUCUGGU
Pezoporus flaviventris is the source of this 420-nucleotide long non-coding RNA. RefSeq lists it as uncharacterized. The record is from RefSeq and is a predicted model, not a curated record. The transcript has 4 exons. Lineage: Eukaryota; Metazoa; Chordata; Aves; Psittaciformes; Psittacidae.